CAUCAGACGUAAUCUGCCGCAAACAUAUUGCGGUUCACACCGUAUUAUUGGAUACCUUGGCGAAACGCCAAGCUAAUACAUGAACAACCGGGCGUUCUCCACCAAAUGCUUCCCAUCGGUCCGCCGGUGGGGGCAGUGAGACGUCCAGCGAAUGAAUGCAAUUAGAACCAACGCCUGCAAAGGCAGCAAUACAAAGAAGUGUUGAAUCAAUUCAUUCUGCGAAAGCCGGCUUGCCGGCGUAUUUUGACGAACAACUGCCCUAUCAGCCAGUGAUGGCCGUGUAGUGGACUGCCAUGGCGUUGACGGGAGCGGGGGAUUAGGGUUCGAUUCCGGAGAGGGAGCCUGAGAAACGGCUACCACUUCUACGGAGGGCAGCAGGCGCGUAAAUUGCCCAAUGCCAAGAAAAUACAUGAUGAGGCAGCGAAAAGAAAUAGGUUUUCCAGAUACCCACACGGGCUUUUGGGAAUUUACAAUGGGGGAUAUUUAAACCCAUCCAAUAUCGAGUAACAAUUGGAGGACAAGUCUGGUGCCAGCACCCGCGGUAAUUCCAGCUCCAAAAGCGUAUAUUAACGCUGUUGCUGUUAAAGGGUUCGUAGUUGAAUUGGG
Molecule: ribosomal RNA, 606 nt
Filed under: uncultured bodonid
Lineage: Eukaryota; Euglenozoa; Kinetoplastea; Eubodonida; Bodonidae
Description: bacterial SSU rRNA
Rfam family: Eukaryotic small subunit ribosomal RNA
Source: RNAcentral